UACGUAGGGUGCGAGCGUUAAUCGGAAUUACUGGGCGUAAAGCGUGCGCAGGCGGUUCGUUGUGUCUGUGGUGAAAGCCCCGGGCUUAACCUGGGAAUGGCCAUGGAAACUGGCGAGCUGGAGUGUGGCAGAGGGGGGUGGAAUUCCGCGUGUAGUAGUGAAAUGCGUAGAGAUGCGGAGGAACACCGAUGGCGAAGGCAGCCCCCUGGGUUGACACUGACGCUCAGGCACGAAAGCGUGGGGAGCAAACAGG
Molecule: ribosomal RNA, 253 nt
Filed under: uncultured bacterium
Lineage: Bacteria
Description: partial 16S ribosomal RNA
Rfam family: Bacterial small subunit ribosomal RNA
Source: RNAcentral